UACGUAGGGUGCAAGCGUUGUCCGGAAUUAUUGGGCGUAAAGAGCUCGUAGGCGGUUUGUCGCGUCUGCUGUGAAAACCCGAGGCUCAACCUCGGGCCUGCAGUGGGUACGGGCAGACUAGAGUGCGGUAGGGGAGACUGGAAUUCCUGGUGUAGCGGUGAAAUGCGCAGAUAUCAGGAGGAACACCGGUGGCGAAGGCGGGGUCUCUGGGCCGAUACUGAC
This 222-nucleotide ribosomal RNA is filed under the name uncultured bacterium. RNAcentral's name for it is "partial 16S ribosomal RNA". It matches the Rfam family "Bacterial small subunit ribosomal RNA", at positions 524 to 744 of the family's 1533-position model. The record is from RNAcentral.